RNAcentral lists this ribosomal RNA (422 nucleotides) under uncultured bacterium. Its description in RNAcentral is "bacterial SSU rRNA". It matches the Rfam family "Bacterial small subunit ribosomal RNA", at positions 917 to 1341 of the family's 1533-position model. The record is from RNAcentral.
GGGCCCGCACAAGCGGUGGAGCAUGUGGUUUAAUUCGAUGAUACGCGAGGAACCUUACCAGGGCUUAAAUGUAGUAUGACCGGCUUGGAAACAGGCCUUCUCUUCGGAGCAGAUUACAAGGUGCUGCAUGGUUGUCGUCAGCUCGUGCCGUGAGGUGUUAGGUUAAGUCCUGCAACGAGCGCAACCCCUAUUCUUAGUUGCCAGCGGUUCGGCCGGGGACUCUAAGAAGACUGCCAGCGCAAGCUGAGAGGAAGGUGGGGAUGACGUCAAAUCAUCACGGCCCUUACGUCCUGGGCUACACACGUGCUACAAUGGUAGAGACAGAGGGCAGCCACCUGGCGACAGGGAGCGAAUCCUUAAACUCUAUCUCAGUUCGGAUUGGAGUCUGCAACUCGACUCUAUGAAGCUGGAAUCGCUAGUAA